GCUGGAUUGGUGGAAUUGGCGAGACACAAGGGACUCAAAAUCCCUUGGAUUAAAUUCCGUACCGGUUCAAAUCCGGUAUCCAGCA
This 85-nucleotide transfer RNA is filed under the name Caudoviricetes sp. RNAcentral describes it as "tRNA-Leu". It matches the Rfam family "tRNA". From Rfam's summary of the family: Transfer RNA (tRNA) molecules are approximately 80 nucleotides in length. Their secondary structure includes four short double-helical elements and three loops (D, anti-codon, and T loops). The record is from RNAcentral. Lineage: Duplodnaviria; Heunggongvirae; Uroviricota; Caudoviricetes.